RNAcentral lists this ribosomal RNA (46 nucleotides) under Neofusicoccum parvum. Its description in RNAcentral is "partial 28S ribosomal RNA". Lineage: Eukaryota; Fungi; Ascomycota; Dothideomycetes; Botryosphaeriales; Botryosphaeriaceae. The record is from RNAcentral.
UCAGGUAGGGAUACCCGCUGAACUUAAGCAUAUCAAUAAGCGGAGG